AACGAACGCUAUCGGUAUGCUUAACACAUGCAAGUCGGACGGACUAAUUAGGGCUUGCUCCAAUUAGUUAGUGGCAGACGGGUGAGUAACACGUGGGAAUCUGCCCAUCAGUACGGAAUAACUUUUAGAAAUAAAAGCUAAUACCGUAUAUUCUCUACAGAGGAAAGAUUUAUCGCUGAUGGAUGAGCCCGCGUCAGAUUAGGUAGUUGGUGAGGUAACGGCUCACCAAGCCGACGAUCUGUAGCUGGUCUGAGAGGAUGAUCAGCCACACUGGGACUGAGACACGGACCAGACUCCUACGGGAGGCAGCAGUGGGGAAUAUUGGACAAUGGGCGAAAGCCUGAUACAGCAAUACCGAGUGAGUGAUAAAGGCCCUAGGGUUGUAAAGCUCUUUUAGCAAGGAAGAUAAUGACGUUACUUGCAGAAAAAGCCCCGGCUAACUCCGUG
RNAcentral lists this ribosomal RNA (447 nucleotides) under uncultured bacterium. RNAcentral describes it as "partial 16S ribosomal RNA". It matches the Rfam family "Bacterial small subunit ribosomal RNA", at positions 29 to 507 of the family's 1533-position model. The record is from RNAcentral.